Molecule: ribosomal RNA, 1296 nt
Filed under: metagenome
Description: bacterial LSU rRNA
Rfam family: Bacterial large subunit ribosomal RNA
Source: RNAcentral
UGCUUCUAGUGAGAAAGUAACUGCCCGUACCGCAAACCGACACAGGUAGUUGAGGAGAGAAUCCUAAGGUGUGCGAGAGAACUCUCGUUAAGGAACUCGGCAAAAUGACCCCGUAACUUCGGGAGAAGGGGUGCUGACCGCAAGGUCAGCCGCAGUGAAUAGGCCCAAGCGACUGUUUAUCAAAAACACAGGUCUCUGCAAAAUCGAAAGAUGACGUAUAGGGGCUGACGCCUGCCCGGUGCUGGAAGGUUAAGAGGAGAGGUUAGCGCAAGCGAAGCUUUGAAUGAAGCCCCAGUAAACGGCGGCCGUAACUAUAACGGUCCUAAGGUAGCGAAAUUCCUUGUCGGGUAAGUUCCGACCCGCACGAAAGGCGUAACGAUUUGGGCACUGUCUCAACGAGAGACUCGGUGAAAUUAUAGUACCAGUGAAGAUGCUGGUUACCCGCGACAGGACGGAAAGACCCCAUGGAGCUUUACUGCAGUUUGAUAUUGCGUGUUUGUAUCACAUGUACAGGAUAGGUAGGAGCCGAAGAUACCGGGACGCCAGUCUCGGAGGAGGCAACGGUGGGAUACUACCCUUGUGAUAUGACCACUCUAACCCGCUGCUCUUAGCGAGCAGGGAGACAGUGUCAGACGGGCAGUUUGACUGGGGCGGUCGCCUCCAAAAAUGUAACGGAGGCGCCCAAAGGUUCCCUCAGAAUGGUUGGAAAUCAUUCGUAGAGUGUAAAGGCAGAAGGGAGCUUGACUGCGAGACCUACAAGUCGAGCAGGGACGAAAGUCGGGCUUAGUGAUCCGGUGGUUCCGCAUGGAAGGGCCAUCGCUCAACGGAUAAAAGCUACCCUGGGGAUAACAGGCUUAUCUCCCCCAAGAGUUCACAUCGACGGGGAGGUUUGGCACCUCGAUGUCGGCUCAUCGCAUCCUGGGGCUGUAGUCGGUCCCAAGGGUUGGGCUGUUCGCCCAUUAAAGCGGUACGCGAGCUGGGUUCAGAACGUCGUGAGACAGUUCGGUCCCUAUCCGUCGCGGGCGUUGGAAAUUUGAGAGGAGCUGUCCUUAGUACGAGAGGACCGGGAUGGACACACCGCUGGUGUACCAGUUGUUCUGCCAAGAGCAUCGCUGGGUAGCUAUGUGUGGACGGGAUAAACGCUGAAAGCAUCUAAGCGUGAAGCCCCCCUCAAGAUGAGAUUUCCCAUCACUUUAAAUGAGUAAGACCCCUGAGAGAUGAUCAGGUAGAUAGGUUGGGAGUGGAAGUACAGUGAUGUAUGGAGCGGACCAAUACUAAUCGGUCGAGGACUUAACC